RNAcentral lists this ribosomal RNA (1522 nucleotides) under uncultured prokaryote. RNAcentral's name for it is "partial 16S ribosomal RNA". It matches the Rfam family "Bacterial small subunit ribosomal RNA". The record is from RNAcentral.
AGAGUUUGAUCCUGGCUCAGAACGAACGUUGGCGGCGUGGAUUAGGCAUGCAAGUCGAGCGAGAAAGUCCCUUCGGGGGCGAGUACAGCGGCACAAGGGUGAGUAAUGCAUAGUUAACUUACCCUCGAGACAGGGAUAGCUUCGGGAAACUGAAGGUAAUACCAGAUAACAUCAACUUUUUGCAUAAGGGUUGAUCAAAAGAUAGGCGUAUUUUCGAAUAUGUCUUUCGCUCGGUGAGGAGACUAUGUCCUAUUAGCUUGUUGGUAGGGUAACAGCCUACCAAGGCAAUGAUGGGUAGCCGGGCUGAGAGGUUGUUCGGCCUCACUGGGACUGAGACACUGCCCAGACUCCUACGGGAGGCUGCAGUCGAGAAUCUUCCCCAAUGGGCGCAAGCCUGAGGGAGCGACGCCGCGUGGAGGAUGAAGGCCUUCGGGUUGUAAACUCCUGUCACAGUUUAGGAACCGUUUGUAGUUAAUAGCUGCAAACCUGACCAAACUGAGAGGAAGUCACUGCUAACUUCGUGCCAGCAGCAGCGGUAAUACGAAGGUGGCUAACGUUGUUCGGAAUCACUGGGCAUAAAGCGUGUGUAGGCGGCUUGGCAAGUGAGGUGUGAAAUCCCUGGGCUCAACUCAGGAACUGCGCCUCAAACUACCUUGCUUGAGUACUGGAGGGGUGUGUGGAACUCUUGGUGGAGCGGUGAAAUGCGUAGAUAUCAAGAGGAACGCCGGUGGCGAAAGCGACACACUGGCCAGAAACUGACGCUGAGACACGAAAGCUAGGGUAGCAAACAGGAUUAGAUACCCUGGUAGUCCUAGCCGUAAACGAUGGGCACUAAGUAGGAGAACCUCCGAUGGUUUUCCUGCUGAAGCUAAUGUAUUAAGUGCCCCGCCUGGGGAGUACGGUCGCAAGAUUAAAACUCAAAGGAAUUGACGGGGGCUCGCACAAGCGGUGGAGCAUGUUGUUUAAUUCGACGCAACGCGAAGAACCUUACCUGGGCUUGACAUGUACGUAGUACUGAUCUGAAAAGUGAGGGACCCUUCGGGGAGCGUACACAGGUGCUGCAUGGCUGUCGUCAGCUCGUGUCGUGAGAUGUCGGGUUAAGUCCCAUAACGAGCGAAACCCUUACCGUUAGUUACCAUCAGGUCAUGCUGGGGACUCUAGCGGGACUGCCGCGAAAGUUGGAGGAAGGUGGGGACGACGUCAAGUCAUCAUGGCCCUUACGCCCAGGGCUACAAACGUGCUACAAUGGCUGGUACAGAGGGAUGCAAGACCGCGAGGUGGAGCCAACCCCUUAAAGCCAGCCCCAGUUCGGAUUGCAGGCUGCAACUCGCCUGCAUGAAGGUGGAAUCGCUAGUAAUCGUGGAUCAGCUAUGCCACGGUGAAUACGUUCUCGGGGCUUGUACACACCGCCCGUCACAUCACGGAAGUCGGUAACACCCGAAGUCAGUGGCCUAACCCUUUACUGGGAGGGAGCUGCCUAAGGUGGGAUUGGUAACUGGGAUGAAGUCGUAACAAGGUAACC